GAUGAACGCUGGCGGCGUGCCUAAUACAUGCAAGUCGAGCGAACAGACGAGGAGCUUGCUCCUCUGACGUUAGCGGCGGACGGGUGAGUAACACGUGGAUAACCUACCUAUAAGACUGGGAUAACUUCGGGAAACCGGAGCUAAUACCGGAUAAUCUAUUGAACCGCAUGGUUCAAUAGUGAAAUACGGUUUUUCUGUCACUUAUAGAUGGAUCCGCGCCGCAUUAGCUAGUUGGUAAGGUAACGGCUUACCAAGGCAACGAUGCGUAGCCGACCUGAGAGGGUGAGCGGCAACACUGGAACUGAGACACGGUCCAGACUCCUACGGGAGGCAGCAGUAGGGAAUCUUCCGCAAUGGGCGAAAGCCUGACGGAGCAACGCCGCGUGAGUGAUGAAGGUCUUCGGAUCGUAAAACUCUGUUAUUAGGGAAGAACAAAUGUGUAAGUAACUAUGCACGUCUUGACGGUACCUAAUCAGAAAGCCACGGCUAACUACGUG
RNAcentral lists this ribosomal RNA (497 nucleotides) under uncultured bacterium. RNAcentral describes it as "partial 16S ribosomal RNA". It matches the Rfam family "Bacterial small subunit ribosomal RNA", at positions 28 to 507 of the family's 1533-position model. The record is from RNAcentral.